Daphnia pulex (common water flea) is the source of this 665-nucleotide long non-coding RNA. RefSeq lists it as uncharacterized. The transcript is spliced from 3 exons. The record is from RefSeq and is a predicted model, not a curated record. NCBI's taxonomy places the organism in Eukaryota, Metazoa, Arthropoda, Branchiopoda, Diplostraca, Daphniidae.
AGCAAUUUGUUUCAAAGAUGACCAACAAUAUAGUUCAAAACAACCCUUCUGGACUUUAUAUUCUGGUCACUGCUUCUGAUGGAGUUUUUAUAACAUCUCCUAGUUCGUUUUUCAGACCGAAACUUCCUUUACCAAUAAGUGAAACUAAAGAAGACUGUGAAACUCUGCUUAAUUCCUGGAUAGCAAGUAAAAAGGCGGUUGCCUUUAGAUGGAAUUCUACCUCCAAGACGGAGUGGAACCUUUUUAGUUAUUCGAAGGAUUUCACUGAUGGUGAUGGAAGCACAUUUUUAAGUCUGGUGUUGUAAACUGCUUUUCUGAGAGUUCGAAAGAAAUUUCAGCUGAAAGGAACAAGCUUCUACUAGAACUUCAUGGCAAAGAGUUGUUGAAGACAACUGUAGGAAAAAGAACAAACAGUUAUCCAACAUCAAAGUGUCCCACACCAGGAAUAAUGAAAAGUCCAAGAAAGUAUGUUAACGUUCCUUCUGUUCAACAAUCAAAAGAGGUUUCUGCAGUCAAACAGAAAACAGUGCCUGUCAAGUCAAAAUCAACUUCUCUGGCUAAACCAAAGGCAGCAGUUCCCUCGGCAGUUCCAUUCCAACAAAAGGCUAUUGAAUCACUGGUGCCAGAAAAACAGGGUGUAAAAAGAAAAUUAGAAUACCCUGAAA